GUGAACGCUGGCGGUAGGCCUAACACAUGCAAGUCGAACGGCAGCACAGUAAGAGCUUGCUCUUACGGGUGGCGGGUGGCGGACGGGUGAGGAAUACAUCGGAAUCUACUUUUUCGUGGGGGAUAACGUAGGGAAACUUACGCUAAUACCGCAUACGACCUACGGGUGAAAGCAGGGGAUCUUCGGACCUUGCGCGAUUGAAUGAGCCGAUGUCGGAUUAGCUAGUUGGCGGGGUAAAGGCCCACCAAGGCGACGAUCCGUAGCUGGUCUGAGAGGAUGAUCAGCCACACUGGAACUGAGACACGGUCCAGACUCCUACGGGAGGCAGCAGUGGGGAAUAUUGGACAAUGGGCGCAAGCCUGAUCCAGCCAUACCGCGUGGGUGAAGAAGGCCUUCGGGUUGUAAAGCCCUUUUGUUGGGAAAGAAAAGCAGCAGGUUAAUACCCCGCUGUUCUGACGGUACCCAAAGAAUAAGCACCGGCUAACUUCGUG
This 491-nucleotide ribosomal RNA is filed under the name uncultured bacterium. RNAcentral describes it as "partial 16S ribosomal RNA". It matches the Rfam family "Bacterial small subunit ribosomal RNA", at positions 29 to 507 of the family's 1533-position model. The record is from RNAcentral.